UAUAAAGAGCUGGGUUCAUAGCACAACCAACUAGCUUGAAAUUUAAGAAGAAACAGCUGCUGGCAGAGAGACAAGCAUUUGCUUACCCAAGAUAGACAGUAGCAAAAGAAUUCAGCAAAAACUGUUAAUAAGUAGGUGAAGGCAAAGUGAUUACUAAUAAAAGAACAUACACCUGCUAAUGUGCAGAUAUAAAGGGAAUCCCCUGCCAGUGGGAACUCUUCCCUGUGGACUUCAUUAGACAAUCACAAAAACAUUUGGUGACAUAAGGGAGACAAAACAUCACCUCCAUUCUGUUAGAGUUUCUUCUAGGCCUAAGACAUAUGAUAGAUUAAUAGGAGAAAAGCAUACAUAUUUUAUUUUAUAAAUAGAGGUACCUACAUAAAGUAAAAGAAAGAAGACCCAAGGGAGAGCCAAAGGGUCAAUAUUUCUCUACUUCCUUGUUAACAGAGAGAUAAUUAUGAAUAUGGAACUAAAAUAUAUGGGAAGACUCAUGGAAUAUAAUAUUUAUUUUUAGUGUGUCUGCACACAGUCCUGUGUCUGCUUGGAAGUCGUAGAGAUAACAUUUCAAGGGCGAUACCUGUCGGUUUUGACUGGAUAUUCAUAUAAACUUUUUAAAGAGAUGAGUGAUAGAGCUAACCCUAUCUGUAAGUUUUGAAUUUAUAUUGUUUCAUCCCAUGUACAAAACUUUUUUUUCCUACAAAUAGUUGGGUUUUUUUUCCCGUUGAGGGCUUGUAAAGGAAAACAGAAUGUUUUAUCAUGAUUUUUGCUUCAGUGACUUUAGGACAAAUUAAAGGUCCUAAACUCUGAAAAAAAAAAAAACAAAACAAAGCAAAACUUAGUGCAUUUUACCUCACCCUGUGUCCAUGGUUCAGCCUGGCACACAGAACACACAUAUUCUUUGUGUCAGAUUUCAGGAAGUUACAUCUUUUGCAUCCCUAACAGUAGUGAGAUUAUAAAUAAAGAUAUUAGGAAUAAUAUUAAUGAUACUGUAGCAGAAUAUCGUAUCUGAGUUCACAACAUGUCAUUCUCAUUUUGAAGAUAACAAACUUAAACAUAGACAGUACUGUUGCUCAAGUUCACACAGUCAUUAUAAGAUUGAACCAAGAUUUCCAACCCAGUGUUUUAAUGGAAGAACCCACACUCUAGUGCACACAAUAACAUGAGAUAUAUUUACUUGCAGACACACUCAUUUCCAUUCAAGUUAUGUCUUAUAGUAUGAAGCAGAAAUGCAAAGUUGGCUCUGAAAGGAUGGAGUCCAUCUGGCUUUACAUAAACAUAAAGUAGCCACUGUCUUUACUUGGCAAUGCACCUACUCCUACCUCAGUAUCAACAGUUUAUUAUGAAUAGAAAGCAUAUUUUUUGGCUGACAGCUGUGCUCUAUUUCCAAUAACAAGCUGAUUUACAAAUAGGAGAGAACAUAUUCUUUUUCCCAAAAAUUCAGAGGCUUAUUCACUUGAUUCAUUUUCUUUUUAUUUGGCUGGAAAUUCCUGAUCUUCCUUCAGGUGCUAAAGCAACUUUGAUCCUCUCAGGGUUUCAUGCAGGUGCCAGAGUAGCAUUAUCGUAGAAA
This 1567-nucleotide long non-coding RNA is filed under the name Oryctolagus cuniculus (rabbit). Its description in RNAcentral is "lncRNA (ENSOCUG00000034992.1)". Lineage: Eukaryota; Metazoa; Chordata; Mammalia; Lagomorpha; Leporidae. The record is from RNAcentral.